This 460-nucleotide ribosomal RNA is filed under the name uncultured bacterium. RNAcentral describes it as "partial 16S ribosomal RNA". It matches the Rfam family "Bacterial small subunit ribosomal RNA", at positions 338 to 795 of the family's 1533-position model. The record is from RNAcentral.
CCUACGGGAGGCUGCAGUGAGGAAUAUUGGUCAAUGGGCGCGAGCCUGAACCAGCCAAGUAGCGUGAAGGAUGACUGCCCUACGGGUUGUAAACUUCUUUUAUAAAGGAAUAAAGUGAGGCACGUGUGCCUUUUUGUAUGUACUUUAUGAAUAAGGAUCGGCUAAAUCCGUGCCAGCAGCCGCGGUAAUACGGAGGAUCCGAGCGUUCUCCGGAUUUAUUGGGUUUAAAGGGAGCGUAGAUGGGUUGUUAAGUCAGUUGUGAAAGUUUGCGGCUCAACCGUAAAAUUGCAAUUGAUACUGGCAGUCUAGAGUACAGUUGAGGGAGGCAGAAUUCGUGGUGUAGCGGUGAAAUGCUUAGAUAUCACGAAGAACUCCGAUGGCGAAGGCAGCUUACUAAACUGCCACUGACAUUGAUGCGCGAAAGUGUGGGUAUCAAACAGGAUUAGAUACCCGAGUAGUC